AUUGAACGCUGGCGGCAGGCCUAACACAUGCAAGUCGAGCGGAUGAAGGGAGCUUGCUCCUGGAUUCAGCGGCGGACGGGUGAGUAAUGCCUAGGAAUCUGCCUGGUAGUGGGGGAUAACGUCCGGAAACGGGCGCUAAUACCGCAUACGUCCUGAGGGAGAAAGUGGGGGAUCUUCGGACCUCACGCUAUCAGAUGAGCCUAGGUCGGAUUAGCUAGUUGGUGGGGUAAAGGCCUACCAAGGCGACGAUCCGUAACUGGUCUGAGAGGAUGAUCAGUCACACUGGAACUGAGACACGGUCCAGACUCCUACAGGAGGCAGCAGUGGGGAAUAUUGGACAAUGGGCGAAAGCCUGAUCCAGCCAUGCCGCGUGUGUGAAGAAGGUCUUCGGAUUGUAAAGCACUUUAAGUUGGGAGGAAGGGCAGUAAGUUAAUACCUUGCUGUUUUGACGUUACCAACAGAAUAAGCACCGGCUGACUUCGUG
RNAcentral lists this ribosomal RNA (484 nucleotides) under uncultured bacterium. Its description in RNAcentral is "partial 16S ribosomal RNA". It matches the Rfam family "Bacterial small subunit ribosomal RNA", at positions 30 to 507 of the family's 1533-position model. The record is from RNAcentral.